UACAGAGGGUGCAAGCGUUAAUCGGAAUUACUGGGCGUAAAGCGCGCGUAGGUGGUUUGUUAAGUUGGAUGUGAAAUCCCCGGGCUCAACCUGGGAACUGCAUCCAAAACUGGCAAGCUAGAGUAUGGUAGAGGGUGGUGGAAUUUCCUGUGUAGCGGUGAAAUGCGUAGAUAUAGGAAGGAACACCAGUGGCGAAGGCGACCACCUGGACUGAUACUGACGCUGAGACGCGAAAGCGUGGGGAGCAAACAGG
RNAcentral lists this ribosomal RNA (253 nucleotides) under uncultured bacterium. RNAcentral's name for it is "partial 16S ribosomal RNA". It matches the Rfam family "Bacterial small subunit ribosomal RNA", at positions 524 to 776 of the family's 1533-position model. The record is from RNAcentral.